Non-coding RNA from Schistosoma mansoni, 45 nucleotides. NCBI's taxonomy places the organism in Eukaryota, Metazoa, Platyhelminthes, Trematoda, Strigeidida, Schistosomatidae. The record is from Rfam.
AUCCAGCUGACGAGUGACAAAUAAGACGAAACGCGAAUCCUGCAU